RNAcentral lists this ribosomal RNA (255 nucleotides) under uncultured bacterium. Its description in RNAcentral is "partial 16S ribosomal RNA". It matches the Rfam family "Archaeal small subunit ribosomal RNA", at positions 474 to 727 of the family's 1478-position model. The record is from RNAcentral.
UACCAGCACCCCGAGUGGUCGGGACGUUUAUUGGGCCUAAAGCAUCCGUAGCCGGUUCUACAAGUCUUCCGUUAAAUCCAACUGCUUAACAGGUGGGCUGCGGAAGAUACUAUAGAGCUAGGAGGCGGGAGAGGCAAGCGGUACUCGAUGGGUAGGGGUAAAAUCCGUUGAUCCAUUGAAGACCACCAGUGGCGAAGGCGGCUUGCCAGAACGCGCUCGACGGUGAGGGAUGAAAGCCUGGGGGGAGCAAACCGG